GAUGAACGCUGGCGGCGUGCCUAAUACAUGCAAGUCGAGCGAACAGACGAGGAGCUUGCUCCUCUGACGUUAGCGGCGGACGGGUGAGUAACACGUGGAUAACCUACCUAUAAGACUGGGAUAACUUCGGGAAACCGGAGCUAAUACCGGAUAAUAUAUUGAACCGCAUGGUUCAAUAGUGAAAGACGGUUUUGCUGUCAAUUAUAGAUGGAUCCGCGCCGCAUUAGCUAGUUGGUAAGGUAACGGCUUACCAAGGCAACGAUGCGUAGCCGACCUGAGAGGGUGAUCGGCCACACGGGAACUGAGACACGGUCCAGACUCCUACGGGAGGCAGCAGUAGGGAAUCUUCCGCAAUGGGCGAAAGCCUGACGGAGCAACGCCGCGUGAGUGAUGAAGGUCUUCGGAUCGUAAAACUCUGUUAUUAGGGAAGAACAAAUGUGUAAGUAACUAUGCACGUCUUGACGGUACCUAAUCAGAAAGCCACGGCUAACUACGUG
This 497-nucleotide ribosomal RNA is filed under the name uncultured bacterium. RNAcentral describes it as "partial 16S ribosomal RNA". It matches the Rfam family "Bacterial small subunit ribosomal RNA", at positions 28 to 507 of the family's 1533-position model. The record is from RNAcentral.